RNAcentral lists this ribosomal RNA (320 nucleotides) under uncultured Prevotella sp. RNAcentral's name for it is "partial 16S ribosomal RNA". The record is from RNAcentral. Lineage: Bacteria; Pseudomonadati; Bacteroidota; Bacteroidia; Bacteroidales; Prevotellaceae.
GGAGUUUGGACCGUGUCUCAGUUCCAAUGUGGGGGACCUUCCUCUCAGAACCCCUACCGAUCGUCGCCACGGUGGGCCGUUACCCCGCCGUCAAGCUAAUCGGACGCAUCCCCAACCCUUAGCGAUAAAUCUUUGCUCCUCUUCAAAUGCUCUCAAAGGAAUACAUAGGGCAUUAAUCCGACUUUCGCCGGGCUGUUCCCUACUAAGGGACAGGUUGGAUACGCGUUACUCACCCGUGCGCCGGUCGCCAUCGGUAUGUGCAAGCACACACCAUGCUGCCCCUCGACUUGCAUGUGUUAAGCCUGUAGCUAGCGUUCAUC